UACGAAGGGUGCUAGCGUUGUUCGGAAUUACUGGGCGUAAAGGGCGUGUAGGCGGCUUGUUCAGUUAGGCGUGAAAGCCCCGGGCUCAACCUGGGAACUGCGCUUAAUACUAGCAAGCUUGAGUACGGGAGAGGAGUAUGGAAUUCCGAGUGUAGAGGUGAAAUUCGUAGAUAUUCGGAAGAACACCAGUGGCGAAGGCGAUACUCUGGACCGUUACUGACGCUGAGGCGCGAAAGCGUGGGGAGCAAACAGG
Molecule: ribosomal RNA, 253 nt
Filed under: uncultured bacterium
Lineage: Bacteria
Description: partial 16S ribosomal RNA
Rfam family: Bacterial small subunit ribosomal RNA
Source: RNAcentral